ACCCUACAAUCAAAUAGAUUGUCCCAAGGUCGCCAUAUUCUAGGAGCCCAAGUUAUGCUAUUGAAAAUUUGUUCCUCUAGCAGUUCCGGUUUGAGCAUUCAGUUCCCUUUUUCAAACUCCACUUAUUUUCAUAUAGCAUCCCUGAUCAAAGAGAGAACAAUAUCCAUUUCAAAACAUUUCUAACAGAUUCCUUAGUUCGGACCGACGAAGUAA
RNAcentral lists this ribosomal RNA (213 nucleotides) under Triticum aestivum (bread wheat). Its description in RNAcentral is "partial small subunit ribosomal RNA". Lineage: Eukaryota; Viridiplantae; Streptophyta; Magnoliopsida; Poales; Poaceae. The record is from RNAcentral.